UACAGAGACUGCAAGCGUUAUUCGGAUUCACUGGGCGUAAAGGGUGCGCAGGCGGCCGUGUGUGUGAGGCGUGAAAGCCCGGGGCUCAACCCCGGAAUUGCACCUCAAACUACAUGGCUAGAGCAUUGGAGAGGGAAGCGGAAUUCACGGUGUAGCAGUGAAAUGCGUAGAUAUCGUGAGGAACACCAGAGGCGAAGGCGGCUUCCUGGACAAUUGCUGACGCUCAUGCACGAAAGCGUGGGGAGCAAACAGG
This 253-nucleotide ribosomal RNA is filed under the name uncultured bacterium. Its description in RNAcentral is "partial 16S ribosomal RNA". It matches the Rfam family "Bacterial small subunit ribosomal RNA", at positions 524 to 776 of the family's 1533-position model. The record is from RNAcentral.